Molecule: ribosomal RNA, 546 nt
Filed under: Escherichia coli
Lineage: Bacteria; Pseudomonadati; Pseudomonadota; Gammaproteobacteria; Enterobacterales; Enterobacteriaceae
Description: partial 23S ribosomal RNA
Rfam family: Bacterial large subunit ribosomal RNA
Source: RNAcentral
AGCGUCUGGAAAGGCACGCGAUACAGGGUGACAGCCCCGUACACAAAAAUGCACAUGCUGUGAGCUCGAUGAGUAGGGCGGGACACGUGGUAUCCUGUCUGAAUAUGGGGGGACCAUCCUCCAAGGCUAAAUACUCCUGACUGACCGAUAGUGAACCAGUACCGUGAGGGAAAGGCGAAAAGAACCCCGGCGAGGGGAGUGAAAAAGAACCUGAAACCGUGUACGUACAAGCAGUGGGAGCAUGCUUAGGCGUGUGACUGCGUACCUUUUGUAUAAUGGGUCAGCGACUUAUAUUCUGUAGCAAGGUUAACCGAAUAGGGGAGCCGAAGGGAAACCGAGUCUUAACUGGGCGUUAAGUUGCAGGGUAUAGACCCGAAACCCGGUGAUCUAGCCAUGGGCAGGUUGAAGGUUGGGUAACACUAACUGGAGGACCGAACCGACUAAUGUUGAAAAAUUAGCGGAUGACUUGUGGCUGGGGGUGAAAGGCCAAUCAAACCGGGAGAUAGCUGGUUCUCCCCGAAAGCUAUUUAGGUAGCGCCUCGUGAA